Molecule: ribosomal RNA, 606 nt
Filed under: Hepatozoon canis
Lineage: Eukaryota; Apicomplexa; Hepatozoidae
Description: SSU rRNA
Rfam family: Eukaryotic small subunit ribosomal RNA
Source: RNAcentral
AAAUCUCAACUUUAUUAGAAGAGACGCAUUUAUUAGAUAAAAAGCCAGUUCAUGCUUUUACAGUAUGAAAAUUGGUGAUUUAUAAUAACUUAGCAAAUCGCAAAGUGAAAACAGGCGAUAAAUCAUUCAAGUUUCUGACCUAUCAGCUUUCGACGGUAUGGUAUUGGCUUACCGUGGCAGUGACGGUUAACGGGGGAUUAGGGUUCGAUUCCGGAGAGGGAGCCUGAGAAACGGCUACCACAUCUAAGGAAGGCAGCAGGCGCGCAAAUUACCCAAUUCUAACAGUUUGAGAGAGGUAGUAACAAGAAAUAACAAUACAAGGCAGUUAAAAUGCUUUGUAAUUGGAAUGAUAGAAAUUUAAACCCUUUUUAAAGUAUCAAUUGGAGGGCAAGUCUGGUGCCAGCAGCCGCGGUAAUUCCAGCUCCAAUAGCGUAUAUUAAAAUUGUUGCAGUUAAAAAGCUCGUAGUUGAAGUUCUGCUGAAAGUAACCGGUCUGCUUUUAAUAAAAGUGGUAUCUUGGUAUGUAUUUAGCAAUGAUGUCCUUUGAAGUGUUUUUUACUUUAUUGUAAUAAAGCAUAUUCAGGACUUUUACUUUGAGAAAAUUAGA